CCCCACAAUGCCGCUCAGAAAAUGGUCCCAUCCCGGAAGUAAGAAAAAUUGCAGUUCCACCCUCAUCCGCUGGGGGCUGGUGCCAGAAGCGAGCAAAUCCUCAUUGACUCCCAUGUUAAAAAUGCCGAUUUCACAGCAGAAAUAAACAUGUUUACAGCCUGGUACCAAAACAUGUUUUUUGUCUAAAUUAUCUAGUUUAUACUCAUGACAACUCUGAGGGGGGUGAAUUUUUUUCUCACUCUUCUGUUUAAGUGUAUUGAAAGCCUAAAAUUCUGUAUAAUUAAUGAGCAUCCGACACACGUGACCGCCGCCUCAGACCCACGUGACCACAGAGCUAGCUCCGUGGAAAGGCCUCAGUACAGCCUCGGUCUGGCUUGGAAACUGCUCCGGCAUUUUGAGUCUCUGUGUUUGUGUAUUCUUCUUUGGAUAUUAUUGGUGCAAUUGUUGGACAAAAUGACUUGCAGUGGUAUUAAUUGCACUAAUAGAGCGUCCAAGGAGUCUCCACUUCAUUUUUUUCGGUAAGUUAAAAUCUAUAUUCGUAUUUUAUGUCACUGCUACCUUUAAACUAGCUGAGUUUACCGAAGUAGCUAGCUAACUAUCAGUUUAACAUGUAGCAUGUACUGUUUAACCAUGAAAUUUAAAUGUAAAAUACGGUAAAAUAAUUAAUAGGGCAUAUUUAGAUGGGUAAUAGGGUAAAACCCAGUGCAUUUAAGAUAAAAAUGGGUUGAAAUAUGACGGAGCGCUAAGAGGGAGACUUCUGUGUCCAUUCUUCCAUCCGGUAAUCCCCAGCGUUCAGGCCGGGCAGCCUGACCGAUCCGGCGCCUACUUGCUGCGCCUAGCUGCUGCGCGGUCUGACCGCUCGUGGAGUUUUUCAUGUCUGACUUUAACCGCAUCUAAUACUGUAUUACGGCGUGAGCGCAACAGCGACAACUUAAUAUCGAUGUGUAAGCAGCCUGAGUGGUAGGGUGUUUUCAUCUGAACCCUCCAGCAGGCUAUGCUGCACUAUUGACGUGUUAGCGCGCGGCGCUAACAACUUAGCAACGUGACAUGUCUCUGAGAAAGCGUAAAACACGGACGCUUCUUCUGAAGCGGAAAAUAACACCUCUUCUUAAGCAGAGCAGGAUGUCGCCUCGGCUCGUUCACGGCCGAGCCGGACUGAGCUCGAUAACAUUGACCAAGCACAGCCACUGGGUCGUUGUAGCUGCCACCAGGCCUGCUGAAGGAACUCCAGCGGGUUUCAUCAGACUCGUAAAGUUUCUUGUUUUUGCUGGGGAUUUCUGUAUUUUACCGCUCCCUCCUGCAGUCUUCCCCUAUUAAAAUUUAAAAUGUGUAACUUUAUGUAUUGUGAUGAAUGACUAAUAUUCAUGUUAAACUGAAACGUUAGGCAUUUAGGGGGAAAAAACAAAAUAAUAAACAUUAUACAGAUGUCAAAUAAAUCAAACUGUAAUUAAACUAUAUAUUUUCAAAGUCAUAUAGACAGCAUGAUGGUUUGUGUGAUCCGCGCGGUUUCACUUACACCCCUUUAAUGAUCAGGCUGUUUUUUAUUAUUUUUAUCAGCUGAUAGCAGUUAAAAUUAUGGUAAAAAAUACUUUUAUCUGUUUUUGAUAACUUAAUGCCCAGGAAGAGCAUCUUCCUGGGCAUUAAAUAUAACCCAAAUGUUUUAUUAUGAGCAGAUCUGAUGAAGGUUUAGACAAGCAGUCUGCAAAGUAAAACUUGUUUAGAGUCCAAACUCUUACUAAAGCUUUUGAAAAGAAAAAAUGGUUGAAUUUUGAGAAAUAUCCACAACAGGGGAGCGAGACCUCUGAAAAAUGUAUAUUUUCUCUGAAUUCAUAGAAUAAUGUGAAGAUUCUGGGAAAAGUUGGGAUUCUGAGAUUAAAACGUAAAUCUUUCUAAUCAUAAUUCUGGCAGUUUUUGUGUCCUUCUGCUGUGGAAAGUCGUGCAACAUGAAGAUACUGAGAAGAUGCUUACAACCUGUAUUUUUAUUCCAUCCAUAAAUAAAAUCAUGAGCUAUUUUUUUAAUCCAAAUUUGAUCCAAAGGGCCAUCGUUGGUUCCAGACCCGUUCUAGAACAUUCCUCUAAUCUUAAAGUCAUCAUCAGUUUCUUCCUUUUAACAAAUAUUUAUUUGUUCAAAUAUUUAAUAUUUAUAACUGGAAUAUUUGUUCCUCCCUCUCCCACUGCAGUUAGUCCUGUCCUGCAACCCUGUUUUUGCAGCUUAGUGAAGCCAACCAUCACUAACCGGGGGGUGGUUUUGGACCCAGAGAUGCGGAUGGACUCCCACAUUAGCCAGGGAAGGACCUGAUUGGUGUCCAGAACCUGUUGAAGAAGCACCAGGCUCUGCAGGCUGAGGUCACAGGUCAUGAACCUCGCAUCAAGGCUGUCACCCAGAAAGGAGAGACCAUGGUGGAAGAAGGUCACUUCGCUGGUGAGGAAGUGAAGACUAAACUGUGGGAGCUUCAUGGACGUUGGGACACGCUGAAGGCCAAGGCGUCCCAGAGGAGGCAGGACCUGGAGGACUCUCUGCAGGCCCAGCAGUACUUUGCGGAUGCUAAUGAGGCCGAGUCCUGGAUGAGGGAGAAGGAGCCCAUCGUUGGAAGUCCAGACUAAGGGAAAGACGAGGACUUGGCCGAGGCUCUCCUGAAGAAGCACGAGGCCCUGAUGUCGGACCUGUCGGCUUACGGCAGCAGCAUCCAGGCCCUGAAGGAGCAGGCCCAGUCCUGCAGGCAACAAGGUGAUCAGCAGGUGCUUUUGUCCUGCAGGACCUGAAGGCCAACGAGUCCCGCCUGAGGGACAUCAACAAGGUGGCAUCUGAACUGGAGUCAGAAGGUCUGAUGGCUGAGGAGGCUCCUAUGGUUCAGGCUCAGCAACAAGAACAUCUGGGUUCUGCUCCUGGAAAGGAUGAAGCCGACUCUAACACGGCGUCACCCUGGAAGACCGUACGGUUGGGCGU
Molecule: non-coding RNA, 2947 nt
Organism: Nothobranchius furzeri (turquoise killifish)
Lineage: Eukaryota; Metazoa; Chordata; Actinopteri; Cyprinodontiformes; Nothobranchiidae
Source: RefSeq, a predicted model, not a curated record